RNAcentral lists this unclassified non-coding RNA (318 nucleotides) under Zea mays. RNAcentral's name for it is "misc RNA Zm00001eb282140". Lineage: Eukaryota; Viridiplantae; Streptophyta; Magnoliopsida; Poales; Poaceae. The record is from RNAcentral.
GGAAAUUCAACGGAUGUCACGCCCUUUUCGUAAUAGAUCAUGUUAAAAAGCAUGUGACUUUUAUCGACUUUACACCGACUCAAGAUUGGUGUAAACACAUGCCAUACAAGAGGUUUGCGGAAGCGAUUAUCAUGGCCUCAAAGAAAUAUAAGAUUGCUUACAGCAAAAAACGUUCUGGAUGGGCGGAGGAUAUCUUUAAGUGGGAACAUACAAUUCAGACUGGUGUUCCAAUUGACUUAAGAGGGUUUAAUACCAGCUACCUCGUUCUACAAGCUAUGGCCAUGUGGGGGAAUGACAGACGAAUGAAAUUUGUUGGGG